RNAcentral lists this transfer RNA (72 nucleotides) under Pseudothermotoga hypogea DSM 11164 = NBRC 106472. It matches the Rfam family "tRNA". From Rfam's summary of the family: Transfer RNA (tRNA) molecules are approximately 80 nucleotides in length. Their secondary structure includes four short double-helical elements and three loops (D, anti-codon, and T loops). Lineage: Bacteria; Thermotogati; Thermotogota; Thermotogae; Thermotogales; Thermotogaceae. The record is from Rfam by way of RNAcentral.
GCGGGCGUAGCUCAGCGGUAGAGCGUCUGCUUGCCAAGCAGAAGGUCGCGGGUUCGAAACCCGUCGCCCGCU